GACGGAGGAUGCAAGUGUUAUCCGGAAUCACUGGGCGUAAAGCGUCUGUAGGUGGUCAAAUAAGUCAACUGUUAAAUCUUGAGGCUCAACCUCAAAAUCGCAGUCGAAACUAUUAGACUAGAGUAUAGUAGGGGUAAAGGGAAUUUCCAGUGGAGCGGUGAAAUGCGUAGAGAUUGGAAAGAACACCGAUGGCGAAGGCACUUUACUGGGCUAUUACUAACACUCAGAGACGAAAGCUAGGGUAGCAAAUGGGAUUAGAAACCCUGUAGUCC
RNAcentral lists this ribosomal RNA (272 nucleotides) under uncultured prokaryote. Its description in RNAcentral is "partial 16S ribosomal RNA". It matches the Rfam family "Bacterial small subunit ribosomal RNA", at positions 524 to 796 of the family's 1533-position model. The record is from RNAcentral.